GGCAUGUCCUUAUCAUGUCUUUUCCAUGUCCUUCUCACGUUCUUGUCAUGCCCUUCUCAUGUCCUUGGCGUGUCCUUCUCAUGUCCUUGGCAUGUCCUUAUCAUGUCUUUACCAUGUCCCUGGCGUGUCCUUCUAUCCUUGCAGUGUCAUUAUUACGUCCUUGGUGUGUCCUUAUCAUGUCCUUAUCGUGUCCUUGGCGUGUCCAUAUCACAUCUUUAUCAUGUCCUUAUCAUGUCCUUAUCAUGUCUUUACCAUGUCCUUCCCAUGUCCAUCUCACGUUCUUGUCAUGCCCUUCUCAUGUCCUUGACGUGUCCUUCUCAUGUCCUUGGCAUGUCCUUAUCAUGUCUUUACCAUGUCCUUUCCAUGUCCUUGGCAUGUCCUUCUCAUGUUCUUGUCAUGCCCUUCUCAUGUCCUUGACGUGUCCUUCUCAUGUCCUUGACAUGUCCUUCUCAUGUUCUUAUUGUGUCCUUCUCAUCUCCUUGGCGUGUCCUUCUCAUGUCCUUGGCGUGUCCUUCUCAUGUCCUUGGCAUGUCCUUGGCAUGUCCUUAUCACAUCCUUCUUGUGUCCUUCCCAUGCCCUUAUCACGUCCUUGUCAUGCCCUUCCCAUGUCCUUAAUGUGUCCUUCUCAUGUCCUUGGCAUGUUCUUGGCGUGUUCAGGCAGCCCUGGUAGAGAAGCGGAUCCUGGCCCGUGUUCACAGCCGCUUCAUCGUGUCCCUGGCCUGCGCCUUCCAGACCAAAACCGACCUCUGCCUCGUCAUGACGCUGAUGAACGGCGGCGACCUGCGGUAAGCGUGUCCUUAGCGUGUCCUUAGCGUGUCCUUAGCGUGUCCUUAGUGUGUCCUUAGCGUGUCCUUAGCGUGUCCUUGGCAUGUCCUUGGCAUGUUGUUGCCAUGUUAGUGGCGUAUCCUCACCAUAUCCUUACCAUAUCCUUGGCGUGUCCUUAGCGUGUCCUUAGUGUGUCCUUAGCGUGUCCUUAGCGUGUCCAUAGCGUGUCCUUAUGUCCUUAGUGUGUUCUUAGCAUGUUCUUAGCGUGUCCUUAGCGUGUCCUUAGCAUGUUCUUAGUGUGUUCUUAGUGUGUCCAUAGCGUGUCCUUAUGUCCUUAGUGUGUUCUUAGCAUGCCCUUAGAGUGUUCUUGUUGUGUCCUUAGCGUGUUCUUAGUGUGUCCUUAGUGUGUCCAUAGUGUGUCCUUAGCGUGUCCUUAGUGUGUUCUUAGCAUGCCCUUAGAGUGUUCUUGUUGUGUCCUUAGUGUGUUCUUAGUGUGUCCUUAGCGUGUCCUUAGCGUGUCCUUAGUGUGUCCUUAGCGUGUCCUUAGUGUGUCCUUAGCGUGUCCUUAGUGUGUUCUUGGCAUGUCCUUAGCAUGUCCUUGGCAUGUUGUUGCCGUGUUAUUGGCGUAUACUCACCAUAUCCUUACCAUAUCCUUGGCAUGUCCUUGGCAUGUUGUUGCUGUGUUAUUGGCACAUCCUUACCAUAUCAUUACCUCAUCCGUACCACAUUCUCACCAUGUUGCUACCAUGUCCCUAGCGUGUCCGUAGCGUGUCCUUAGCAUGUCCUUAGCGUGUCCUUGGCAUGUCCUUGGCAUGUCUUUAACAUGUCCUUGGCAUGUCCUUGGCAUGUCUUUAACAUGUCCUUGGCAUGUCCUUGGAAUGUUGGUGCCGUGUUAUUGGCGUAUCCUCACCAUAUCCUUACCAUGUCCUUGGCAUGUCCUUGGCAUGUUAUUGGCAUGUUAUUGGCAUAUCCUUACCAUGUCCUUACCAUAUCCUUGGCAUGUUCUUGGCAUGUCCUUAGCAUGUCCUUGUCAUGUUCUUGGCGUGU
This is a long non-coding RNA of Coturnix japonica (Japanese quail), 1812 nucleotides long. Lineage: Eukaryota; Metazoa; Chordata; Aves; Galliformes; Phasianidae. The record is from Ensembl.